This 513-nucleotide ribosomal RNA is filed under the name uncultured fungus. RNAcentral's name for it is "eukaryotic LSU rRNA". The stretch from base 146 to 299 matches the Rfam family "5.8S ribosomal RNA". The record is from RNAcentral. Lineage: Eukaryota; Fungi.
AGUUUACAACUCCCAAACCCCUGUGAACAUACCACUUGUUGCCUCGGCGGAUCAGCCCGCUCCCGGUAAAACGGGACGGCCCGCCAGAGGACCCCUAAACUCUGUUUCUAUAUGUAACUUCUGAGUAAAACCAUAAAUAAAUCAAAACUUUCAACAACGGAUCUCUUGGUUCUGGCAUCGAUGAAGAACGCAGCAAAAUGCGAUAAGUAAUGUGAAUUGCAGAAUUCAGUGAAUCAUCGAAUCUUUGAACGCACAUUGCGCCCGCCAGUAUUCUGGCGGGCAUGCCUGUUCGAGCGUCAUUUCAACCCUCAAGCACAGCUUGGUGUUGGGACUCGCGUUAAUUCGCGUUCCUCAAAUUGACUGGCGGUCACGUCGAGCUUCCAUAGCGUAGUAGUAAAACCCUCGUUACUGGUAAUCGUCGCGGCCACGCCGUUAAACCCCAACUUCUGAAUGUUGACCUCGGAUCAGGUAGGAAUACCCGCUGAACUUAAGCAUAUCAAUAAGACGGGGAAA